This 271-nucleotide unclassified non-coding RNA is filed under the name fungal sp. RNAcentral describes it as "partial internal transcribed spacer region". The stretch from base 1 to 46 matches the Rfam family "Eukaryotic small subunit ribosomal RNA", at positions 1786 to 1831 of the family's 1831-position model. The record is from RNAcentral. Lineage: Eukaryota; Fungi. RNAcentral also lists the same sequence under 1 other name.
AAGUCGUAACAAGGUAACCGUAGGUGAACCUGCGGUUGGAUCAUUAAUAAAUUUAUAAUUGAGGGUUUCCUUUUAACUAAGGGACUUUUUCAAUUCAUCCCCUUGUGAACCAAUUUAUUGUAUUUUCGGGUUAAGGUGAGCUCUAGGGCUCCGUAAGCUUUGAAAAAAGAUCUUCCCGGAAAUUUUUAUUAAGCCUUUGUAGUAAUCUUUUUGUCUUUAAAUUUUUUAUGCAAAAUAAAAACAACUUUUGACAACGGAUCUCUAGGCUCUC